RNAcentral lists this non-coding RNA (338 nucleotides) under Clostridium sp. RNAcentral's name for it is "T-box sequence". It matches the Rfam family "T-box leader". From Rfam's summary of the family: Uncharged tRNA acts as the effector for transcription antitermination of genes in the T-box leader family. T-boxes are found upstream of many aminoacyl-tRNA synthetase genes and some amino acid biosynthetic genes usually in Gram-positive bacteria. Lineage: Bacteria; Bacillati; Bacillota; Clostridia; Eubacteriales; Clostridiaceae. The record is from RNAcentral.
UUAACAUCAAUGAUCAGAAAGAGUAAAUACAGAAAUUUAGUCUUAGCGAGUCUGGGAUGGUGCAAGCCGGAUACUGUAGUCUGUAUUGAAUGGGUCUGUGAGAUGAAGUGCGAAUUUAUAGUAGCAUUUUCCGGGAGUCUUCCGUUAAAAGGACAGGGUAUCGAUUAAUUCUGUACCUGAUAAAGAUAAAUUUCCAUUUAGGUGGCAUAGCGAGUACAACAUCUCGCCCUAUGUGAGGGCUAGGUGUUUUUUUAUUUACUUUAAAAUUUAUGUAAGCUUUGCUAUUAUUAAAUUGGAAAUUUAAUAUGGGUGGCACCACGAGUCACUUCGUCCCAUAA